Molecule: ribosomal RNA, 489 nt
Filed under: uncultured bacterium
Lineage: Bacteria
Description: partial 16S ribosomal RNA
Rfam family: Bacterial small subunit ribosomal RNA
Source: RNAcentral
AUUGAACGCUGGCGGCAUGCCUUACACAUGCAAGUCGAACGGCAUCGCGGGAAAGCUUGCUUUCCUGGCGGCGAGUGGCGAACGGGUGAGUAACACAUCGGAACGUACCGGCUAGUGGGGGAUAACCCGUCGAAAGACGGGCUAAUACCGCAUACGCUCUUCGGAGGAAAGCAGGGGACCUUUGGGCCUUGCGCUAGCCGAGCGGCCGAUGUCCGAUUAGCUAGUUGGUGGGGUAAAGGCCUACCAAGGCGACGAUCGGUAGCGGGUCUGAGAGGACGAUCCGCCACACUGGGCCUGAGACACGGCCCAGACUCCUACGGGAGGCAGCAGUGGGGAAUCUUGGACAAUGGGGGCAACCCUGAUCCAGCAAUGCCGCGUGGGUGAAGAAGGCCUUCGGGUUGUAAAGCCCUUUCGGCAGGGAAGAAAUCGGCGGGGCGAAUAACCCUGCUGGAUGACGGUACCUGCAGAAGAAGCACCGGCUAACUACGU